This is a small nuclear RNA of Phyllostomus discolor (pale spear-nosed bat), 162 nucleotides long. RefSeq annotates it as U1 spliceosomal RNA. NCBI's taxonomy places the organism in Eukaryota, Metazoa, Chordata, Mammalia, Chiroptera, Phyllostomidae. The record is from RefSeq and is a predicted model, not a curated record. The transcript has a single exon.
AUACUUACCUGGCUGGGGAGAUACUGUGAUCAUGAAGGUGGUUUUCUCAGGGUGAUGUUUAUCCAUUGUACUCCAGAUAUGCUGACCGUUGAGCGUUCCUCAUAUGUGGGAAACCUAACUGCAUAACUUGUGGUAGUGGGAGGCUGCAUUUGCAUUCUCCCC